RNAcentral lists this ribosomal RNA (450 nucleotides) under uncultured bacterium. Its description in RNAcentral is "partial 16S ribosomal RNA". It matches the Rfam family "Bacterial small subunit ribosomal RNA", at positions 29 to 523 of the family's 1533-position model. The record is from RNAcentral.
AACGAACGCUGGCGGCAUGCCUAACACAUGCAAGUCGAACGAGACCUUCGGGUCUAGUGGCGCACGGGUGCGUAACGCGUGGGAAUCUACCCUUGGGUUCGGAAUAACAGUUAGAAAUGACUGCUAAUACCGGAUGAUGACGUAAGUCCAAAGAUUUAUCGCCCAAGGAUGAGCCCGCGUAAGAUUAGCUUGUUGGUGGGGUAAUGGCCUACCAAGGCGACGAUCUUUAGCUGGUCUGAGAGGAUGAUCAGCCACACUGGGACUGAGACACGGCCCAGACACCUACGGGUGGCUGCAGUCGAGAAUAUUCCGCAAUGCACGAAAGUGUGACGGAGCGACGCCGCGUGUCGAAAGAAGGCCUUCGGGUCGUAAACGACUUUUAUCAGGGACGAAUUUUGACGGUACCCGAAGAAUAAGGGGUUGCUAACUCUGUGCCAGCAGCCGCAGUAA